GACGAACGCUGGCGGCGUGCUUAACACAUGCAAGUCGAGCGGGAUCCAACCGGUGGCAACACCGGGGAAGAUCUAGCGGCGAACGGGUGAGUAACACGUGAGCAACCUGCCCCGAAGACUGGGAUAACACCGGGAAACCGGUGCUAAUACCGGAUGUCGUCAUUAGGCCGCAUGACCUGAUGAUGAAAGGAUUCAUCGCUUCGGGAGGGGCUCGCGGGCUAUCAGCUUGNGGUGGGGUAACGGCCUACCAAGGCGACGACGGCUAGCUGGUCUGAGAGGACGACCAGCCACACUGGGACUGAGACACGGGCCCAGACUCCUACGGGAGGCAGCAGUGGGGAAUUUGGACAAUGGGGGCAACCCUGAUCCAGCCAUGCCGCGUGAGUGAAGAAGGCCU
Molecule: ribosomal RNA, 397 nt
Filed under: uncultured bacterium
Lineage: Bacteria
Description: bacterial SSU rRNA
Rfam family: Bacterial small subunit ribosomal RNA
Source: RNAcentral